This 229-nucleotide unclassified non-coding RNA is filed under the name plant metagenome. RNAcentral describes it as "partial contains small subunit ribosomal RNA, internal transcribed spacer 1, and 5.8S ribosomal RNA". The stretch from base 1 to 54 matches the Rfam family "Eukaryotic small subunit ribosomal RNA", at positions 1778 to 1831 of the family's 1831-position model. The record is from RNAcentral.
GGAGGUAAAAGUCGUAACAAGGUUUCCGUAGGUGAACCUGCGGAAGGAUCAUUCAUAAUAAGUGUUUUAUGGCACUUUUUUAAAUCCAUAUCCACCUUGUGUGCAAUGUCAGGGUUGGUCUCUUUUGAUCAGCCCCGAACAUCAACUAUUAUCUCAACUCUUUGUCUGAAGAAUAUUAUGAAUAAAACAAUUCAAAAUACAACUUUCAACAACGGAUCUCUUGGCUCUC